UACGUAGGGGGCAAGCGUUGUCCGGAUUUAUUGGGCGUAAAGAGCGUGUAGGCGGCUGGGUAGGUCGGUUGUGAAAACUCGAGGCUCAACCUCGAGACGCCGAUGGAAACCCUCCAGCUAGAGUCCGGAAGAGGAGAGUGGAAUUCCUGGUGUAGCGGUGAAAUGCGCAGAUAUCAGGAAGAACACCAGUGGCGAAGGCGGUUCUCUGGGACGGUACUGACGCUGAGACGCGAAAGCGUGGGGAGCGAACAGG
Molecule: ribosomal RNA, 253 nt
Filed under: uncultured bacterium
Lineage: Bacteria
Description: partial 16S ribosomal RNA
Rfam family: Bacterial small subunit ribosomal RNA
Source: RNAcentral